AUCCAAUAAACGUAUAUGCAGAGAGUUCGUAUAAUGUGAAUGUUAAG
Molecule: non-coding RNA, 47 nt
Filed under: Trypanosoma brucei brucei
Lineage: Eukaryota; Euglenozoa; Kinetoplastea; Trypanosomatida; Trypanosomatidae
Source: RNAcentral